CAUUGCAAAUGGCACAGGAAUCAACAGGAACUUUCCCUACUUUUACACCUCUGUACCACAGGACACACAGCCCUUAAUGAGAGAAAGAAAUUCGAGUGUUUUCAUCUCAAUAGCUCUGCACCCAUCUUUUAGGAAAAUGUCCUCCCCACAAAGGUACAAGCUGCUCAGUAGUGCUGCAAACUGCUCCAGCUGAAUCUGCUCCAAUGCACAGAAAACAGGAAACUUUAUUUUUACAGAGGAGAGCAAAGAUAAAUACAGUUUUCCCUCCCUUUCCUUUGUGAGUAUGAAGCUUAUCAUAGGAUCAGAGGAAAUAUUAAAAGAAUACUAUUGUCCCAGCAUUUGCUGUGUAUU
Molecule: long non-coding RNA, 351 nt
Organism: Pipra filicauda (Wire-tailed manakin)
Lineage: Eukaryota; Metazoa; Chordata; Aves; Passeriformes; Pipridae
Exons: 4
Source: RefSeq, a predicted model, not a curated record